This is a non-coding RNA of Stegodyphus mimosarum, 73 nucleotides long. NCBI's taxonomy places the organism in Eukaryota, Metazoa, Arthropoda, Arachnida, Araneae, Eresidae. The record is from Rfam.
GCCUUCGUGGUGUAAAGGUCAGCACGCUCGACGCGUAACUGAGAGGUCCGUGGUUCGAUUCCCGAUGAAGGCG